This 514-nucleotide ribosomal RNA is filed under the name uncultured bacterium. RNAcentral's name for it is "bacterial SSU rRNA". It matches the Rfam family "Archaeal small subunit ribosomal RNA", at positions 724 to 1236 of the family's 1478-position model. The record is from RNAcentral.
AGUGAAUAGAUACCCCGGUAGUCCCAGCUGUAAACGAUGCGCGUUAGGUGUAUCGGUGACCACGAGUCACCGAGGUGCCGAAAGAGAAAUCGUGAAACGUGCCGCCUGGGAAGUACGGUCGCAAGGCUGAAACUUAAAGGAAUUGGCGGGGGAGCACCACAACAGGUGGAGCCUGCGGUUUAAUCGGACUCAACGCCGGGAAGCUCACCGGAUAAGACAGCUGAAUGAUAGCCGGGUUGAAGACUCUGCUUGACUAGCUGAGAGGAGGUGCAUGGCCGUCGUCAGUUCGUACUGUGAAGCAUCCUGUUAAGUCAGGCAACGAGCGAGACCCACGCCAACAGUUGCCAGCAUGUCCUCCGGGAUGGUGGGGACACUGUUGGGACCGCCUCUGCUAAAGAGGAGGAAGGAAUGGGCAACGGUAGGUCAGCAUGCCCCGAAUUAUCCGGGCUACACGCGGGCUACAAUGGUCAGGACAAUGGGUAUCAACACCGAAAGGUGAAGGCAAUCUCCUAAA